Molecule: ribosomal RNA, 305 nt
Filed under: uncultured bacterium
Lineage: Bacteria
Description: bacterial SSU rRNA
Rfam family: Bacterial small subunit ribosomal RNA
Source: RNAcentral
GCCUACGGGGGGCAGCAGUAGGGAAUAUUGCUCAAUGGGGGAAACCCUGAAGCAGCAACGCCGCGUGGAGGAUGAAGGUUUUCGGAUUGUAACUCCUUUUGUUAGAGAAGAUAAUGACGGUAUCUAACGAAUAAGCACCGGCUAACUCCGUGCCAGCAGCCGCGGUAAUACGGAGGGUGCAAGCGUUACUCGGAAUCACUGGGCGUAAAGAGCGCGUAGGCGGGAUAGCAAGUCAGAUGUGAAAUCCUAUGGCUUAACCAUAGAACUGCAUUUGAAACUGUUAUUCUAGAGUAUGGGAGAGGUAG